GAAACUGCGAAUGGCUCAUUAAAUCAGUUAUCGUUUAUUUGAUAGUACCUUACUACUUGGAUAACCGUGGUAAUUCUAGAGCUAAUACAUGCUAAAAACCCCGACUUCGGAAGGGGUGUAUUUAUUAGAUAAAAGACCAAUGCUCUUCGGGGCUCCUUGGUGAUUCAUGAUAACUUAACGAAUCGCAUGGCCUUGUGCCGGCGAUGGUUCAUUCAAAUUUCUGCCCUAUCAACUUUCGAUGGUAGGAUAGUGGCCUACCAUGGUUUCAACGGGUAACGGGGAAUUAGGGUUCUAUUCCGGAGAGGGAGCCUGAGAAACGGCUACCACAUCCAAGGAAGGCAGCAGGCGCGCAAAUUACCCAAUCCCGACACGGGGAGGUAGUGACAAUAAAUACUGAUACAGGGCUCUUUUGAGUCUUGUAAUUGGAAUGAGUACAAUUUAAAUCCCUUAACGAGGAACAAUUGGAGGGCAAGUCUGGUGCCAGCAGCCGCGGUAAUUCCAGCUCCAAUAGCGUAUAUUAAAGUUGUUGCAGUUAAAAAGCUCGUAGUUGAACCUUGGGCCUGGCUGGCCGGUCCGCCUCAC
Molecule: ribosomal RNA, 582 nt
Filed under: uncultured fungus
Lineage: Eukaryota; Fungi
Description: SSU rRNA
Rfam family: Eukaryotic small subunit ribosomal RNA
Source: RNAcentral